UACGAAGGGGGCUAGCGUUGCUCGGAAUCACUGGGCGUAAAGCGCACGUAGGCGGCUUCUUAAGUCAGGGGUGAAAUCCUGGAGCUCAACUCCAGAACUGCCUUCGAUACUGGCGAUCUUGAGUCCGGGAGAGGUGAGUGGAACUCCGAGUGUAGAGGUGAAAUUCGUAGAUAUUCGGAAGAACACCAGUGGCGAAGGCGGCUCACUGGCCCGGUACUGACGCUGAGGUGCGAAAGCGUGGGGAGCAAACAGG
RNAcentral lists this ribosomal RNA (253 nucleotides) under uncultured bacterium. RNAcentral's name for it is "partial 16S ribosomal RNA". It matches the Rfam family "Bacterial small subunit ribosomal RNA", at positions 524 to 776 of the family's 1533-position model. The record is from RNAcentral.